CCUACGGGAGGCAGCAGUCGAGGAUCAUUCACAAUGGGGGAAACCCUGAUGGUGCGACGCCGCGUGGGGGAAUGAAGGUCUUCGGAUUGUAAACCCCUGUCAUGUGGGAGCAAAUUAAAAAGAUAGUACCACAAGAGGAAGAGACGGCUAACUCUGUGCAAGCAGCCGCGGUAAUACAGAGGUCUCAAGCGUUGUUCGGAAUCACUGGGCGUAAAGCGUGCGUAGGCUGUUUCGUAAGUCGUGUGUGAAAGGUGCGGGCUUAAACCGCGGACGGCAAAUGAAACUGGGAGGCUAGAGUAAUGGAGGGGGAACCGGAAUUCUCGGUGUAGCAGUGAAAUGCGUAGAUAUCGAGAGGAACACUCGUGGCGAAGGCGGGUUCCUGGACAUUAACUGACGCUGAGGCACGAAGGCCAGGGGAGCGAAAGGGAUUAGAUACCCUGGUAGUC
This 446-nucleotide ribosomal RNA is filed under the name uncultured bacterium. RNAcentral describes it as "partial 16S ribosomal RNA". It matches the Rfam family "Bacterial small subunit ribosomal RNA", at positions 338 to 795 of the family's 1533-position model. The record is from RNAcentral.